Molecule: long non-coding RNA, 602 nt
Filed under: Androctonus crassicauda
Lineage: Eukaryota; Metazoa; Arthropoda; Arachnida; Scorpiones; Buthidae
Source: RNAcentral
CUCACAUCAAUAGCAUUGUCAUCAUGAAGCUGGCAAGCAAUGUCUGCUGCAGUCAUUCUUGGAUCUAUCACAGCUUUCCUUCUAAUAAGUCAGUCUUCUUGAACUAUUGCUUUUCUUGACCUUCCAGGACAUGCUUUAUCUUUCAAUCCUAAGCCUGUAUUUAUCCAGAAUAUCAUUCAUGAUUGAUUUUAUUGAUGAAAAGCAAGAAUGAAAUCUCACGAGAUGUUCUCCUCCUCCAACAAUAGGCCAAUACACUGAUGCAACUAAAUAGUUAUGUGUGGAGUCAUAGUUGUGCCUUGAAAAUAUAAACUGAAUUUUCUUCUUCGAGUACUGUUGUCCUUAUAAUGAUUUGCAUUUUGCAUAGUGCUGUUGAGUGCUGCUAAAGUAUGGAAUGUUGGUUUUAUCAGAAAUUUUUGCACAUACUUACUUUGAUAUUUGUGUAUUUGUGAACUGUAAUAAUAUAUCGUUGUAUAUAAUCAUAAUUGCUUCAUCAUUAGCUGUAUUUGGAUUGUUUCAAAUAUUAGUAUUAGUUUUCUUUUUUUAUAUUUCAGGUUUUAUGAGAGUGCAUGGCGUUUCUUAUCUGGCCAGAAACUUUUGCACAC